GACGAACGCUGGCGGCGUGCUUAACACAUGCAAGUCGAACGGAAAGGCCCAGCUUGCUGGGUACUCGAGUGGCGAACGGUGAGUAACACGUGGGUGAUCUGCCCCAAACUUCGGGAUAAGCCUGGGAAACUGGGUCUAAUACCGGAUAUGACCUGCUCCUGCAUGGGGGUUGGUGGAAAGCUUUUGCGGUUUGGGAUGGGCCCGCGGCCUAUCAGCUUGUUGGUGGGGUAAUGGCCUACCAAGGCGACGACGGGUAGCCGACCUGAGAGGGUGUUCGGCCACACUGGGACUGAGACACGGCCCAGACUCCUACGGGAGGCAGCAGUGGGGAAUAUUGCACAAUGGGCGCAAGCCUGAUGCAGCGACGCCGCGUGAGGGAUGACGGCCUCGG
RNAcentral lists this ribosomal RNA (391 nucleotides) under uncultured bacterium. RNAcentral describes it as "bacterial SSU rRNA". It matches the Rfam family "Bacterial small subunit ribosomal RNA", at positions 28 to 420 of the family's 1533-position model. The record is from RNAcentral.